AUUGAACGCUGGCGGCAUGCCUUACACAUGCAAGUCGAACGGCAGCACGGGAGCAAUCCUGGUGGCGAGUGGCGAACGGGUGAGUAAUAUAUCGGAACGUGCCCAGUCGUGGGGAUAACGUAGCGAAAGCUACGCUAAUACCGCAUACGAUCUAUGGAUGAAAGCGGGGGAUCGCAAGACCUCGCGCGAUUGGAGCGGCCGAUAUCAGAUUAGGUAGUUGGUGAGGUAAAGGCUCACCAAGCCGACGAUCUGUAGCUGGUCUGAGAGGACGACCAGCCACACUGGGACUGAGACACGGCCCAGACUCCUACGGGAGGCGAGCAGUGGGGAAUUUUGGGACAAUGGGCGCAAGCCUGAUCCAGCAAUGCCGCGUGCAGGAUGAAGGCC
This 387-nucleotide ribosomal RNA is filed under the name uncultured bacterium. RNAcentral's name for it is "bacterial SSU rRNA". It matches the Rfam family "Bacterial small subunit ribosomal RNA", at positions 29 to 416 of the family's 1533-position model. The record is from RNAcentral.